This is a non-coding RNA of Salmo salar (Atlantic salmon), 54 nucleotides long. NCBI's taxonomy places the organism in Eukaryota, Metazoa, Chordata, Actinopteri, Salmoniformes, Salmonidae. The record is from Rfam.
AAUCACAUCCAUUGUAAGUCGCUCUGGAUAAGAGCGUCUGCUAAAUGACGUAAA